CACGCCGUAAACGAUGAGUGCUAGGUGUUGGGGGGAUACACCUCAGUGCCGAAGGAAACCCAAUAAGCACUCCGCCUGGGGAGUACGGUCGCAAGACUGAAACUCAAAGGAAUUGACGGGGGCCCGCACAAGCAGUGGAGCAUGUGGUUUAAUUCGAAGCAACGCGAAGAACCUUACCAGGGCUUGACAUCCCUCUGACGCACCUAGAGAUAGGUGUUCCCUUCGGGGCAGAGGAGACAGGUGG
RNAcentral lists this ribosomal RNA (244 nucleotides) under uncultured bacterium. Its description in RNAcentral is "partial 16S ribosomal RNA". It matches the Rfam family "Bacterial small subunit ribosomal RNA", at positions 796 to 1041 of the family's 1533-position model. The record is from RNAcentral.